Molecule: unclassified non-coding RNA, 306 nt
Filed under: plant metagenome
Description: partial contains 5.8S ribosomal RNA, internal transcribed spacer 2, and large subunit ribosomal RNA
Rfam family: 5.8S ribosomal RNA (bases 1-105)
Source: RNAcentral
GAAAUGCGAUAAGUAAUGUGAAUUGCAGAAUUCAGUGAAUCAUCGAAUCUUUGAACGCACAUUGCGCCCGCCAGUAUUCUGGCGGGCAUGCCUGUCCGAGUGUCAUUUCAACCAUCAAGCCCCCGGGCUUGUGUUGGGGACCUGCGGCUGCCCGCAGGCCCUGAAAACCAGUGGCGGGCUCGCUGUCACACCGAGCGUAGUAGCAAUCACCUCGCUCAGGGCGUGCUGCGGGUUCCGGCCGUUAAACAGCCUUACAAAACCCAAGGUUGACCUCGGAUCAGGUAGGAAGACCCGCUGAACUUAAGC